Paramuricea clavata is the source of this 913-nucleotide non-coding RNA. NCBI's taxonomy places the organism in Eukaryota, Metazoa, Cnidaria, Anthozoa, Malacalcyonacea, Plexauridae. The record is from the annotation of a GenBank genome assembly.
AAUUUUUUUAAUUUUUUAAUUUUUUUAAUUUUAUAAACUUCGUCACAAUAUAAAUUACAUAUCUAAAUACUAUAAUGACUAUAACACAUUCCGAGCCAUCCUUACAUGUAUCGUUUUCCAGGACAAACAACUGUUAAACCAUAUUAAAACAGACUAAAACAGACAUGAAAACCGUAGAUGCAAUAUAACUCGAAAUGCACUAUAGAUCUAACAAUACAACAUUCAACAAUUUACAACAAUUGUGACAGGGUAUUCACAACAGCUUUUGGCCAAUUACUGUGAUCCCAUUAGACAACAAACAAAUUAUCUUAAACUAUACAAAGCAUUCACAUUGUCUCUUAAAAAAUUAUCAUUUAAAAACAGCAUGCAAGAGGUUUAGUGAGAUCAUGAGUCUGAUUACACUUUAAACAAAUUGUUUUCCACGAACGAGGAUCAUCUAUGUUAUAAUUAAGUUGUAAAGCAGAGAGGUAGUAGUCAAGUAAAUAUUUUUUAAAGGUAUAUAAAGAAUUAGAUUUAUUAGUUAUAAGUUUUGGUAAAGUAUUCCAGAUCCUUGUUGAUCUGAUUGUAUAUGACUGUUGGUAUGUCGCUGUAUAGCAUUUCUUCGUGCGGAAUUGGAGACAGUUUGGUUGAACAGAUCGUGUUGUUCUAACGUUCAGAUUUUGCGUAGGAAGGACUGAUCUCGGAAGAUUUAUGGCACCACAACUUACUUUAAAUAAAAACAUCAUGUCCAAGUACUCGUGCCAAUAGCUGAUGGGAAGAAGCUUCAAUUUCUUCAGUCGUUGCUCGUAACUGGCUUCACAAAGAAAAGGCAAGCCAAGGAUGUAUUUUGAAGCACGCCUUUGUACUCGUUCUAAUCGGGAGAUGAGCUCAACGGACUGUGGUGACCAAACUUGCGUUGCAUAACCGACUUGAG